Molecule: ribosomal RNA, 1373 nt
Filed under: uncultured bacterium
Lineage: Bacteria
Description: bacterial SSU rRNA
Rfam family: Bacterial small subunit ribosomal RNA
Source: RNAcentral
GACGAACGCUGAGCGGCGCGCUUACACAUGCAAGUCGAGCGAGAACCAGGCCUUCGGGCCUGGGGACAGCGGCGAACGGGUGAGUAACACGUGGGUAAUCUGCCCUCGGUACUGGGAUAGCCCGGGGAAACCCGGAUUAAUACCGGAUAGCCCUCCGAGCCUUCGGGCUCGCAGGAAAAGGGAGCUUCGGCCUCCGACCGAGGAUGAGCCCGCGGCGGAUUAGCUUGUUGGUGGGGUAACGGCCUACCAAGGCGACGAUCCGUAGCUGGUCUGAGAGGACGAUCAGCCACACUGGGACUGAGACACGGCCCAGACUCCUACGGGAGGCAGCAGUGGGGAAUCUUGCCCAAUGGGCGAAAGCCUGAGGCAGCGACGCCGCGUGCGGGAAGAAGGCCUUCGGGUUGUAAACCGCUUUCAGGAGGGACGAAGCCACUCGGGUUAAUAGCCCAGAGGGUGACGGUACCUCCAGAAGAAGCCCCGGCUAACUACGUGCCAGCAGCCGCGGUAAUACGUAGGGGGCAAGCGUUGUCCGGAUUUAUUGGGCGUAAAGAGCGUGUAGGCGGCUAGGUAGGUCCGUUGUGAAAACUCGAGGCUCAACCUCGAGACGCCGGUGGAAACCAUCUAGCUAGAGUCCGGAAGAGGAGAGUGGAAUUCCUGGUGUAGCGGUGAAAUGCGCAGAUAUCAGGAAGAACACCCGUGGCGAAGGCGGCUCUCUGGGACGUGACUGACGCUGAGACGCGAAAGCGUGGGGAGCGAACAGGAUUAGAUACCCUGGUAGUCCACGCCGUAAACGAUGGGUGCUAGGUGUGGGCGGUGUCGACUCCGUCCGUGCCGAAGCUAACGCAUUAAGCACCCCGCCUGGGGAGUACGGCCGCAAGGCUAAAACUCAAAGGAAUUGACGGGGGCCCGCACAAGCAGCGGAGCAUGUUGUUUAAUUCGAAGCAACGCGAAGAACCUUACCAGCCCUUGACUUGGGGAGUGUGGGUCGCAGAGACGUGACCCUUCAGUUCGGCUGGCUCCCACACAGGUGCUGCAUGGCUGUCGUCAGCUCGUGUCGUGAGAUGUUGGGUUAAGUCCCGCAACGAGCGCAACCCUCAUCUUCAGUUGCCAUCAUUAAGUUGGGCACUCUGAAGAAACUGCCGGUGACAAGCCGGAGGAAGGCGGGGAUGACGUCAAGUCCUCAUGGCCCUUACGGGCUGGGCUACACACGUGCUACAAUGGCGGUGACAAUGGGAUGCAAGGGGGCGACCCUGCGCCAAUCUCAAAAAGCCGUCUCAGUUCGGAUUGUACUCUGCAACUCGAGUGCAUGAAGUCGGAUCGCUAGUAAUCGUGGAUCAGCACGCCACGGUCACACGUUCCCGGCUGCACUCACC